UACGUAGGGGGCAAGCGUUAUCCGGAUUUACUGGGUGUAAAGGGGGCGCAGACGGCGAUGCAAGCCAGGAGUGAGAGCCCGGGGCCCAACCCCGGGACUGCUCUUGGAACUGCGUGGCUGGAGUGCAGGAGGGGCAGGCGGAAUUCCUGGUGUAGCGGUGAAAUGCGUAGAUAUCAGGAGGAACACCGGUGGCGAAGGCGGCCUGCUGGACUGCAACUGACGUUGAGGCCCGAAAGCGUGGGGAGCAAACAGG
This 253-nucleotide ribosomal RNA is filed under the name uncultured bacterium. RNAcentral describes it as "partial 16S ribosomal RNA". It matches the Rfam family "Bacterial small subunit ribosomal RNA", at positions 524 to 776 of the family's 1533-position model. The record is from RNAcentral.